AUUAACAGGAUUAUCCAAAAGUGCGGAAGAAAUUGAUCGAUCUGAGACCAAAACGGAGAAUAAAAAUCAUCAAUUUUCGAAUGAAAAUCAAUCAUCUAGUAAAUUCCAAGGUUCGGAAAAAGAGUUAACCAGUUUGAAGGAAAAUGGAACAAGUAAAACUGGAGAAACUCAUUCGCGUUGUUAUGACUGUUUUUCUAGUUUUUUUUCUGAGAUGUUUUCCAUUUGUUUCGAUUCCUGUGUGGAAGGAAUUGCCAAUAAACAUAAUUGAAUCGAAACAAAAUAAAAAGAAGAGAGAAAAAUCUGGACAAUUUGUUUUUUAAAAAAAAAGAACAAAAAAUUUGACAUUUUGAAAUGAGAAUAUUUUUUAAACUUCGCGCUUCAUUUUUUCCUUGUUAUGUUAACUCAACACACUUUUUGUUUUGUUGCAAUUAAAACCAAUAGAUUUUUAAUGUUUUAAGUGUCAAUUUGAUUUGAAUUUUUUUGGAUUUUCGGUUAUUUAAGAUUACAAACAAUCAAAUGAAAGAUUAUGUCCCAAUCAACUCUCCCCGAGAGCUCUGAUAAAAGUGUUGAAAAUAAUUCUCCAUCAAAUAAUAUUAGUCUCAUUCAAGAUCUUUUUGCUGACAUGUUAACUGAAGUGACCCAGUCAAAGAAAUCACCACAACCAUCAACACAAUCACAACCAUUGCCACAAUUAGAAUCACAAGUGAUACCUAACUUACUACCACCACCACCUCCACCUCCACCUCCACCAGCACCAGAACAAUCAUCUCAAUCAGUGAUUUCACCAGCACCACUGCCACUCUCUCAAUCACAACAACAACAAUCCAAGACACAACCACAACUUCAACCUCAACAAGCUACCAGUAGCACUACCAACAACAAUGAGCAACAAAAAGCUCAAAAUGAUUUAACACUAUUAGGUAAUAAUAAUAAUAAUCCAAUUUUAAGCAAUAUGAAAAGGCCGGUUAACCAAGAAUCCAUUAAAAGUGGAUCAACUAGUAAUUCUAUUCAAAAGUCAAACAAUGUUAAUUCUCCUUCUAAAAAUCAACCCAAAUAUCUGUUAAACUCUUUCAAUUGGAUAACAUUACUGGAAAGAGAUCAUGAUAUGUCUGUUGCAUCGGUUUCAUCCUUUAGACAUUGUCCCAUGUCCCAAGUUUGGAAUAGUCUAAUCACCGUUGGUCUCAAGGUGGAAGUUAAAAAUCGUGAUGUUGCUUUACCAAAAUCGCCAAGGCCAAAGCAAGAUUACUAUUGGAUCGCCUCAGUUGUCAAAGUGUCAGGAUACUUUGUUCUGCUUAGAUUUGAGGGAUUUGACACCGAUGGAACAAAAGAUUUUUGGCUUAACUUAUUUUCUAAUCAACUUCACCCAAUUGGCUGGUGUGCAUCCCAAGGAAAAGUUUUAAUACCACCAAGAAUGAUUGCCGAUAAAUACAGUGAUUGGAAAGCCGUUCUUGUUAAAAGGUUAACCGGUGGUCGAACUUUACCUGAAAAUUUUUUCGAUCAAGUAAAAGAAAGUAUGAAAAGUCGCUUUCGAGUAGGAAUGGUUUUGGAAUGUGUUGAUAAGACUCGUUUAAGUGCCGUUAGAGUUGCAACUAUUGACAAAAUUAUUGGAAAUCGAUUACAUUUAAACUAUGAAGGUGAAAAUGAGGACAAUUCAGGUUUCUGGUGUCAUGAGAAUUCACCCUUAAUCCAUCCAAUCGGUUGGGCUCAGGUUGUUGGCCAUGAACUUAAAGCGACCCAAGAAUAUGCUCGUUCAUCUUUAGAGAAAACGAUUCACAAAACAUUUGACGACAAUGACGCAUAUUGGUCUUUAUUUCCUGUACAAAGACCUCAUCCAACAGUGAACAUGGCCGAUUACCGAUUCACCGAAGGGAUGAAAUUAGAGGCAAUAGAUCCAUUAAACCUAUCCAAUAUCUGUGUUGCCACCGUGACCAAAGUUUUACGAAAUCAUUUCUUAAUGGUCGGAAUUGACGGGAUGAUGGCCAACGAUGGAUCCGAUUGGUUCUGUUAUCAUGUUUUAAGUCCAAAUAUAUUUCCUGCCGGAUUUUGUAUGUUAAACAACAUUCCUCUCACUCCACCAAGAGGUUAUAAUAGGGAAUUCAAUUGGUUUGAAUAUCUCCAAGAAACUAAAUCUCGAGCUGCUCCUGUUCAUUUGUUCAAAAAAGAUAUUCCCGUUCAUGGUUUUAAAGAGGGAAUGCUAAUAGAAGCUGUUGAUUUAAUGGUACCUCGAUUAAUCUGUGUUGCUACAAUAAUCAAGGUUGUUGGUCGAUUGCUUAAAAUACAUUUUAAUGGCUGGGAUGAAACUUAUGAUCAAUGGUGUGAUUGUGAAUCACCAGAAUUAUAUCCAAUUGGCUGGUGUCAAAUGGUUGGUUAUCCCUUGGAACCACCAAGAGAAAGUGAUGCUGGAGAUACACAUAUGACAACCUAUUCAUCGGCACUUGAUGGUAGAUCAAAGAAACGUAAUAUUUACAAAGGUCGUCAUAAAAAGCGAAGACGAGGUGGCCUUAAUGUGUCCAGUUCCAGUGAUAACAGUCAAGUGACCCUUUCAAAUACAAAUGACAGAGCCUCAACUUCAGAUUUCAUGGAGUCUUUUUCAUCACCUUACUCACCUUACAAUUACGAUUGGUCUCAACAAACGGGCACUUCUUCAUCACCUCCUACCUCAACCUCUUUCGCUAACGAAUCUAAUAGUUCAGUUAUUGUUAAACCUUCACCCGUUCAACCAAUCAUAAUUCAAGAACCAACCUCAUCCAAUCCAUCAUUAACUACAACUUCAUCUUCCAAAAGAUCAACUGAUCCUCGUCAAUGGUCAGUAAAUGAUGUUUGUAAUUUUUUAAGGUCCAAGGAUCACGGAAAUCAUGUCCAAUCUUUUGCAAGAGCGCAAAUCAAUGGAUCUCGAUUAUUACAAUUGACCACGGACGAAGUAUUAGAAUUAACUAAUAAAAAACUAGGACCUUCGCUCAAAAUAUAUGCCUUGAUUCAGUCAUUAAAAGGGAUUAAACCGCAAUGAUGUCUAUACAAAUUAGGAGAACAAUUAAUUAUUAAUUAUUUAUACAAAAUCUACAUUGAAUGUGAAAGACUAAUGGACAUUUCUUCUUGUUUAUAUUACAAAAUCGAGCCUCAAGUAAAAAGAAACAACGAAACUACCGGACACUAGCUCUAUGUGAAGACACACAUACAAUCACAAUAUCGACAAAUUUACCAAUUCAGAAAGAUAGAGACUUAAUUUUUUAAAUACCAUUUUUUUCACAACAAUUGAAGCAACAAUUUAAAAUCCACAAUUGGAAAGGACAAAGAUAAAUGAUGCUACCUGUAAAUGGAGAUAAAUUUGAUUUAAACGGAAAGUUAUCAUCAUAACUAAUUACACGAAGCCUUCUCUUCCUGAUUUAAUCAUUAAACACCUCUUACCAUAUCAAGGAAUCAAUGAUAAUUAUAUAUUUAUACUCUUUCCAUCAGAAAUUAACCGCCAAUGGAUAAAACCAACAUCAUCUUUACUUAAUCAUUACGCAUUCCUUAAAUUGUAAGGAUGAUUUUGUUGAAAGAACAACAA
This is an RNA transcript of Panonychus citri (citrus red mite), 3547 nucleotides long. It is a transcript of the gene named MBT domain-containing protein 1-like, with no coding region annotated. The transcript is spliced from 3 exons. The record is from RefSeq and is a predicted model, not a curated record. Lineage: Eukaryota; Metazoa; Arthropoda; Arachnida; Trombidiformes; Tetranychidae.